RNAcentral lists this ribosomal RNA (301 nucleotides) under uncultured bacterium. Its description in RNAcentral is "partial 16S ribosomal RNA". It matches the Rfam family "Bacterial small subunit ribosomal RNA", at positions 509 to 807 of the family's 1533-position model. The record is from RNAcentral.
CAGCAGCCGCGGGAAUACGAACCGUGCGAACGUUAUUCGGAAUUACUGGGCUUAAAGCGCGUGUAGGCGGGCCGCCACGUCGGUUGCUGAAAUCCCCCGGCUCAACCGGGGAAGUGGCAUCGAUACGAGCGGCCUUGAGGGGGGUAGGGGGAUCUGGAACUUCCGGUGGAGCGGUGAAAUGCGUUGAGAUCGGAUGGAACGCCCGUGGCGAAAGCGAGGUCCUGGACCCUUUCUGACGCUGAGACGCGAAAGCCAGGGGAGCGAACGGGAUUAGAUACCCGCGUAGUCCCUGUCUCUUAUU